RNAcentral lists this ribosomal RNA (1147 nucleotides) under uncultured organism. RNAcentral describes it as "bacterial SSU rRNA". It matches the Rfam family "Bacterial small subunit ribosomal RNA", at positions 297 to 1432 of the family's 1533-position model. The record is from RNAcentral.
AGGAUGGCCCGCCGCACUGGGACUGAACACUGCCCAACUCCUACGGGAGGCUGCAGUCGAGAUCAUUCGCAAUGCGCGAAAGCGUGACGAUGCGACGCUGCGUGGAGGAAUGAACGGCCCUAGGGGUUGUANAACUCCUGUCAUGAGGGAGAAGCCGGCGACGGGUUAAUAAGCCCGCCGCCCCUGAUAGUACCUCAAGAGGAAGCCACGGCUAACUCUGUGCCAGCAGCCGCGUGUAAUACAGAGGUGGCUAGCGUUGUUCGGAUUUACUGGGCGUAAAGCGUGCGUAGGCGGUCGAGUAAGUCGGAUGUGAAAGCCCGGGGCCCAACCCCGGAAUUGCGUCCGAAACUGCCCGACUUGAGUGCAGGAUGGGAGAGGGGAAUUCAUGGAGUAGCGGUGGAAUGCGUUGAUAUCAUGAAGAACACCGGUGGCGAAGGCGCCUCUCUGGAAUGCAACUGACGCUGGAGCACGAAAGCAUGGGGAGCGAACAGGAUUAGAUACCCUGGUAGUCCAUGCCGUAAACGGUGCGCACUUGGUGUUGGAAGGGUCAGCCCUUUCAGUGCCGGAGCUAACGCGUUAAGUGCGCCGCCUGGGGAGUACGGCCGCAAGGCUAAAACUCAAAGAAAUUGACGGGGGCCCGCACAAGCGGAGGAGCAUGUGGCUUAAUUCGAUGCAACGCGAAGAACCUUACCCAGGCUUGAUAUAUAACUGCAAGUCCUGUGAAAGCAGGAUUCCUUCGAGGGUGUUAUACAGGUGCUGCAUGGCUGUCGUCAGUUCGUGCCGUGAGGUGUUUGGUUAAGUCCAGCAACGAACGCAACCCCUGUGUCCAGUUGCCAUCAGGUAAUGCUGGGAACUCUGGACAGACUGCCUGUGCAAUCAGGAGGAAGGUGGGGACGACGUCAAGUCAGUAUGGCCCUUACGCCUGGGGCUGCACACGUGCUACAAUGGCCGGUACAGAAGGAUGCAACACCGCGAGGUUGAGCAAAUCCCCAAAGCCGGCCCCAGUUCGGAUUGAAGUCUGCAACUCGACUUCAUGAAGUUGGAUUCGCUAGUAACGGCGUGUCAGCUACGACGCCGUGAAUACGUUCCCGGGCCUUGUACACACCGCCCGUCACAUCAUGAAAGCCGUCUGCACCCGAAGUCGUUA